AUGCUCUUUCCAAGAACAACAACAAAAGCACAUAUAAGAGAACUUGAGGAAGAAGUGAAGCUCCUCAAGAACCUUUCGCACCCCAAUAUUGUGAGGUACCUCGGGACUGUCCGUGAGGAAGACACACUGAAUAUCCUGCUGGAGUUUGUUCCUGGAGGGUCUAUCCAGUCGCUUCUUGGAAAACUUGGUUCAUUCCCGAAGGCAGUCAUUGGGAAGUAUACUAGGCAGAUUUUGCAAGGGUUGGAAUAUCUGCAUAGCAAUGCAAUAAUACAUAGAGACAUUAAGGGUGCAAACAUUCUUGUUGAUAACAAAGGCUGCAUUAAGCUUGCCGAUUUUGGGGCAUCUAAGGAAGUUGCCAAGUUGGUAAGAUUGAUGUUCAAUAUGCCGUUAAGGUCGAGUAUAAUAGCUUGGAAGAAAUAA
RNAcentral lists this ribosomal RNA (420 nucleotides) under Triticum aestivum (bread wheat). RNAcentral describes it as "partial small subunit ribosomal RNA". The record is from RNAcentral. Lineage: Eukaryota; Viridiplantae; Streptophyta; Magnoliopsida; Poales; Poaceae.